RNAcentral lists this ribosomal RNA (500 nucleotides) under uncultured bacterium. RNAcentral's name for it is "partial 16S ribosomal RNA". It matches the Rfam family "Bacterial small subunit ribosomal RNA", at positions 30 to 523 of the family's 1533-position model. The record is from RNAcentral.
AUUGAACGCUGGCGGAAUGCUUUACACAUGCAAGUCGAACGGCAGCACGGACUUCGGUCUGGUGGCGAGUGGCGAACGGGUGAGUAACAUACCGGAACGUAUCCAAUAAUGGGGGAUAACGAGUCGAAAGAUUCGCUAAUACCGCAUACGCCCUACGGGGGAAAGCUGGGGACCUUCGGGCCUGGCGUUAAUGGAGCGGCCGAUAUCUGAUUAGCUAGUUGGUGAGGUAAAGGCUCACCAAGGCGACGAUCAGUAGCUGGUCUGAGAGGACGACCAGACACACGGGAACUGAGACACGGUCCAGACUCCUACGGGAGGCAGCAGUGGGGAAUUUUGGACAAUGGGCGCAAGCCUGAUCCAGCCAUUCCGCGUGAGUGAAGAAGGCCUUCGGGUUGUAAAGCUCUUUCGCAAGAGAAGAAAACUUAGCCACUAACAUUGGUUGAGGUUGACGGUACCUUGAUAAGAAGCACCGGCUAACUACGUGCCAGCAGCCGCCGUAA